AAGUCGUAACAAGGUUUCCGUAGGUGAACCUGCGGAAGGAUCAUUAACACUCCAAAACACUCAUUACUCUUGGCAACAAGGGUAUAUGAAACCCUAUUCACAAGCGAACUAUACCAGAGGAUACCAAGACGCACUAAGACUCGUCUUUUGCCCUUGGUCCUUUUGGUCUCUUUUGUCCUUUUUCUCAUUCUUUAGCCCCACACAUUUUAUUUACUGUCUGACUGAGACGCAAGUCUCGUUGUUCUUCGAAAGAAGAGCAAUGAAAAUCGAUAAGGUUUAACAUAAAAACAACUCUUAGCA
Molecule: unclassified non-coding RNA, 300 nt
Filed under: Phylloporus sp.
Lineage: Eukaryota; Fungi; Basidiomycota; Agaricomycetes; Boletales; Boletaceae
Description: partial contains small subunit ribosomal RNA and internal transcribed spacer 1
Rfam family: Eukaryotic small subunit ribosomal RNA (bases 1-46)
Source: RNAcentral